This 468-nucleotide ribosomal RNA is filed under the name uncultured bacterium. RNAcentral describes it as "partial 16S ribosomal RNA". It matches the Rfam family "Bacterial small subunit ribosomal RNA", at positions 28 to 507 of the family's 1533-position model. The record is from RNAcentral.
GACGAACGCUGGCGGCGUGCUUAACACAUGCCAGUCGAACGGAAAGGCCCUGCUUUUGUGGGGUGCUCGAGUGGCGAACGGGUGAGUAACACGUGAGUAACCUGCCCUUGACUUUGGGAUAACUUCAGGAAACUGGGGCUAAUACCGGAUAGGAGCUCCUGUUGCAUGGUGGGGGUUGGAAAGUUUCGGCGGUUGGGGCUGGACUCGCGGCUUAUCAGCUUGUUGGUGGGGUAGUGGCUUACCAAGGCUUUGACGGGUAGCCGGCCUGAGAGGGUGACCGGCCACAUUGGGACUGAGAUACGGACCAGACUCCUACGGGAGGCAGCAGUGGGGAAUAUUGCACAAUGGGCGGAAGCCUGAUGCAGCAACGCCGCGUGCGGGAUGACGGCCUUCGGGUUGUAAACCGCUUUCGCCUGUGACGAAGCGUGAGUGACGGUAAUGGGUAAAGAAGCACCGGCUAACUACGUG